UUCCCUCAGGAUAGCUGGAACUUAUGAAGAAGUAGUUUUAUCAGGUAAAGCGAAUGAUUAGAGGCUUUGGGGAAGAAACUUCCUCGACCUAUUCUCAAACUUUUAAAUAGGUAAGAUUUGAAGGAUACUUAAGUGAUCUUUCAAUACAUUGAAUAUCAAGUUCUUAGUGGGCCAUUUUUUGGUAAGCAGAACUGGCGAUGUGGGAUGAACCGAACGUUAAGUUAAAGUGCCAAAUAGUACGCUUCAUGAGAUACCAUAAAAGGUGUUGGUUCAUUUUGACAGCAGGACGGUGGCCAUGGAAGUCGGAACCCGCUAAGGAGUGUGUAACAACUCACCUGCCGAAUGAACUAGCCCUGAAAAUGGAUGGCGCUUAAGCGUAUAACUUAUACUUAACCCUUACUUGAAUUUAUUAUAACGAGUAAGGAGUAGGAGG
Molecule: ribosomal RNA, 433 nt
Filed under: uncultured eukaryote
Lineage: Eukaryota
Description: eukaryotic LSU rRNA
Rfam family: Eukaryotic large subunit ribosomal RNA
Source: RNAcentral